CCAGCAGCUCCCCUUUUUUUCCAGACAAGGGUGUGAACCUGCCUGGGAAUGAGGCCUGGUCUUGUGGAUGGACUUAGCUUCGCGGGGCAUAUCGCUCUGGCCCAGGGUGGUAGGUAAU
RNAcentral lists this long non-coding RNA (118 nucleotides) under Octodon degus (degu). Its description in RNAcentral is "Nuclear enriched abundant transcript 1 conserved region 1 (ENSODEG00000020908.1)". It matches the Rfam family "Nuclear enriched abundant transcript 1 conserved region 1". The record is from RNAcentral. Lineage: Eukaryota; Metazoa; Chordata; Mammalia; Rodentia; Octodontidae.